RNAcentral lists this long non-coding RNA (546 nucleotides) under Fukomys damarensis (Damara mole-rat). RNAcentral's name for it is "lncRNA (ENSFDAG00000032771.1)". Lineage: Eukaryota; Metazoa; Chordata; Mammalia; Rodentia; Bathyergidae. The record is from RNAcentral.
CUCGCCGCAGCAGCAAUUACGCCUAAUGGAUGCUCAGCGUGACGCACUCUCCUGCUUCUAGGCAGCCGCAGCGCUGGCGCUGAGCUCGGGUCCCCAGGGGCUGCUGGGCCCUGUGCCUCUGGAGGCCCCCGCAAAUGUCACCACCUGCGUCCACAUCACGUUCCAGAGCACAAGCGUGAGGGGCAGCCAGUUAAAGAAGCAAAGCCUCCCGGAGGAAAUGUGCUCUAGACUUCGCCACCAGCCAGCCCGAGGGCAGAUCUCAGCUCCGCGUGGACUGGCUGCACCUGGCUGCACCUGACGCCGCCGGCCCAUCCCCGGGCUCCAUGCUGUAUUCUGCCCAAGUUUCUGGAUCCGAAAGAGGAUAAGAAGCAUCCGGAAAUUGUCCCUCCCAGCUUGCACCCUCUACUGCGGCAUGAGGCCGACCUGGGCGGGAUGCUGUCUGUGUGAUCCUGGACCCGUCUCCUGACUCCCUGAACCCUGGCAGCACAUCUUCAAAAAUGUCCAGAAUGCAAGAGUUUGUGCGGAUUAAACAAAACAAGGACAGCA